GACGAACGCUGGCGGCGUGCUUAACACAUGCAAGUCGAACGGUGAAGCGCCUUCCUUUUUGGUGGGUGUGGAUGAGUGGCGAACGGGUGAGUAACACGUGAGUAACCUGCCCCCUUCUUCUGGAUAACCGCAUGAAAGUGUGGCUAAUACGGGAUAUUCUGGGUCUGUCGCAUGAUGGGUCUGGGAAAGAUAUUGUUUCGGUGGGGGAUGGGCUCGCGGCCUAACAGCUUGUUGGUGGGGUGAUGGCCUACCAAGGCGGUGAAGGCUAGCCGGCCUGAGAGGAUUGACGAUAACAGUGGAACUGAGACACGGCCAAGACUCGUACGGGAGGCAGCAGAGGGGAAUAUUGGACGAUGGGCGUAAGCCUAUUGCAGCGACGACGCGUGAGGGAUGGAGACCUUCGCGUUGUAAACGUCUUUCGCGAGUGACGCACGCCUGCCUCGUUUGUGGGUGGGUUGACGGUAGCUGGAUAAGAAGCGCCGGCUAACUACGUG
RNAcentral lists this ribosomal RNA (494 nucleotides) under uncultured bacterium. RNAcentral describes it as "partial 16S ribosomal RNA". It matches the Rfam family "Bacterial small subunit ribosomal RNA", at positions 28 to 507 of the family's 1533-position model. The record is from RNAcentral.